CAGCCGCCGCGGGAAUACGAAGGGGGCUAGCGUUGUUCGGAUUUACUGGGCGUAAAGCGCACGUAGGCGGAUCGAUCAGUCAGGGGUGAAAUCCCAGAGCUCAACUCUGGAACUGCCUUUGAUACUGUCGAUCUGGAGUAUGGAAGAGGUGAGUGGAAUUCCGAGUGUAGAGGUGAAAUUCGUAGAUAUUCGGAGGAACACCAGUGGCGAAGGCGGCUCACUGGUCCAUUACUGACGCUGAGGUGCGAAAGCGUGGGGAGCAAACAGGAUUAGAGACCCCCGUAGUCCCUGUCUCUUAUAC
RNAcentral lists this ribosomal RNA (301 nucleotides) under uncultured bacterium. Its description in RNAcentral is "partial 16S ribosomal RNA". It matches the Rfam family "Bacterial small subunit ribosomal RNA", at positions 509 to 807 of the family's 1533-position model. The record is from RNAcentral.